Non-coding RNA from Drosophila suzukii, 625 nucleotides. The record is from RefSeq and is a predicted model, not a curated record. Lineage: Eukaryota; Metazoa; Arthropoda; Insecta; Diptera; Drosophilidae.
AUCGCUUUGGUCGAGUACCUCGACUAUCAGAUACCCGUUUCUCAGAUCAGUUCCAAAUGUAAGAAACAACGUAUUUGGGCAACAAAUUUGGUAUUUGGAAUUAUGUAAAAACUGCUACAUUCGCAUCCUACUCUGCCGAUAGCGCAUCCCAAAUCAAAGGUGAUUUGCAAACCAUCAAUGAGACAAUUUAUGUCCUCGUCUCGCCACAAAACCGUUUUAGUUGCUUCAACUAUUUUUUUUGGAAAACUUGUCACAACUGGAUGUAACCGUUAAUAAUUAAAAUGCCUUAAAAAUAUUAAAAAUACUAAGCAAGAAUACGCUUUAUAAGAAAAAUUAAAACUUUUCUAUGUACCAUUCAAAUUAGCAUUGCCUGACUAUCAGAUACCCGUUACUCUUGGAAGGGGGUGCGAGGGAGAUGGAGAUAGCAGCAAAGCGACUGUUUCCAAGAUUGCACACCACGCCUCCCCAUAACUAUGGGGAAUUUCACAAAAACCGAUUUUAUAAAAGUCGUUAAAGUAGUUUUGUUAAUCUGAAUGUAUUAGGAUAACGUCCAUCUAGAAUGUGACUAACGGAAAAGUUUAACAGUGCGCACCACUGUUAAGUUAUCAGCUGUGAAAGCCUGUUU